AGAGUUUGAUCCUGGCUCAGAACGAACGCUGGCGGCAGGCUUAACACAUGCAAGUCGAACGCGUGUAGCAAUACACGAGUGGCGCACGGGUGAGUAACGCGUGGAUAUCUGCCUUUUGGUUCGGAAUAACCCCGGGAAACUGGGGCUAAUACCGGAUGGUUCCUACGGGAUAAAGAUUUAUCGCCAAAAGAUGAGUCCGCGUACGAUUAGCUAGUUGGUGAGGUAAUGGCUCACCAAGGCGACGAUCGUUAGCUGGUCUGAGAGGACGAUCAGCCACACUGGGACUGAGACACGGCCCAGACUCCUACGGGAGGCAGCAGUGGGGAAUAUUGGACAAUGGGGGCAACCCUGAUCCAGCCAUGCCGCGUGAGUGAUGAAGGCCUUCGGGUUGUAAAGCUCUUUUGGCGGGGACGAUGAUGACGGUACCCGCAGAAUAAGCCCCGGCUAACUUCGUGCCAGCAGCCGCGGUAAGACGAAGGGGGCUAGCGUUGUUCGGAAUUACUGGGCGUAAAGCGUGUGUAGGUGGUUGCCAUAGUCAGGUGUGAAAGCCUUGAGCUCAACUCAAGAAAUGCACUUGAUACUGGGCGACUAGAGGACCGGAGAGGAUAGUGGAAUUCCCAGUGUAGUGGUGAAAUACGUAGAGAUUGGGAAGAACACCAGUGGCGAAGGCGGCUAUCUGGACGGUUUCUGACACUAAGACACGAAAGCGUGGGGAGCAAACAGGAUUAGAUACCCCAGUAGUCC
Molecule: ribosomal RNA, 744 nt
Filed under: uncultured bacterium
Lineage: Bacteria
Description: bacterial SSU rRNA
Rfam family: Bacterial small subunit ribosomal RNA
Source: RNAcentral